UCCCUAGUGGUCCAGUGGUUUGGACUUCACACUUCCACUGUGUAGGCAUGGGUUUGAUCGCUGUUUGGGGAA
Molecule: transfer RNA, 72 nt
Filed under: Bos taurus (domestic cattle)
Lineage: Eukaryota; Metazoa; Chordata; Mammalia; Artiodactyla; Bovidae
Also listed under: 2 other names
Rfam family: tRNA
About the family: Transfer RNA (tRNA) molecules are approximately 80 nucleotides in length. Their secondary structure includes four short double-helical elements and three loops (D, anti-codon, and T loops).
Source: Rfam by way of RNAcentral